This 96-nucleotide transfer RNA is filed under the name Trametes cinnabarina. Its description in RNAcentral is "Pycnoporus cinnabarinus tRNA". It matches the Rfam family "tRNA". From Rfam's summary of the family: Transfer RNA (tRNA) molecules are approximately 80 nucleotides in length. Their secondary structure includes four short double-helical elements and three loops (D, anti-codon, and T loops). The record is from Rfam by way of RNAcentral. Lineage: Eukaryota; Fungi; Basidiomycota; Agaricomycetes; Polyporales; Polyporaceae.
GGCGAUAUGGCCGAGCGGUCUAAGGCGCUAGAAUCAGGAACUCAAAUGAGUACUAUCUAGUCCGAAAGGGCGUGGGUUCGAAUCCCACUGUCGUCA